UCUAAUGGAAAUGACUUCAUUCAGCUGGUGAAUAUUUUGGAAGAUUCCAGAAAAAUAUGAACAAGUGUAUGAGUGCUCUUAAGGGGAUUGUCUGACAUCUUGGCUCCUGACUCAUCCUUAGAAGUCUUCCAGCCACCUUGUACCCAUUUCAAGCCCAAGGGCUCUUUAAUGAAAAUGAGUUACUGAGCAGAGUGUGGCAGGAGAUGGCCACUGGAGAGGCUGAGUCAAAUCAAUCUCCUCACCUGAGGACUUCCUGAGACCAGCGCACCGAAGGACCAGCAACAACAACAACAAUAAUGCUAAUGCUCCCUUAUGGACAGGACUGCAAUUCUCUGCCUGCUGAAGCUCAGCUAUGACCACGUGACUUGCCUUGGCCAAUGAAAGAGGAAGAGCAUGUAACACUGCUGAACGGAAGCAAGCGGCCCCUGCCCCUGCUGCAGAGAUUCUAUACGUGUGUGCCAUGCUGGAGCAAGGAGGCAGGGAGUCCUGGAGAAAGGAGACAUGGAACAGAGCUCCCAGCCCAGUCUAUAUGUAACAUGAGUGAGAAAUAAAUAACA
Molecule: long non-coding RNA, 557 nt
Filed under: Pongo abelii (Sumatran orangutan)
Lineage: Eukaryota; Metazoa; Chordata; Mammalia; Primates; Hominidae
Description: lincRNA
Source: RNAcentral